UUCUGGGGGUGUUUCUGAAUGGUAAUUUUUGUUGAACAUUGUGUUGUGAUGGGGCUACCAACCCUUAACUGUUUGGAGUUUAAAUUGGAAGUGCCCUUCUGGUACGAGGCCUGACCGGAGGCUUUUAAUCUGGUACCACGGGUAACCAGGAGCCCACGGAACUUGUUCCGUCCUGGUUAGUUGGUGCGGCCCUUCGGGGAGUAUCGUGGUGGUUGUGGUUUAACACCCAAAUGCGGGUAGAGCAUCGCUCGACGUGGAGUUGCGUCAUACAACCGGGUUCCGUGACCCAGAUUACGGAAGAGGCUUAGAUAGUCCUCGUGCCAAACCAAGGUAGAAGUCACAACCAAACAGUCGUGUCUUUAAUUGGUACCUGCGGAAUUGUUCCAAGGGGGCGGUGAUUGACGCUUGAAUUAAUCCUAUACUAGGAACCGUGAGAUUAAGCCAUCGCGGCAGGUGCUCACGUUAAGCCCACUGACUUUCAUGUCCCUAUCUACUAUCUAGCGAAACCACAGCCAAGGGAACGGGCUUGGAAUAAUUAGCGGGGAAAGAAGACCCUUUUGAGCUUGACUCUAAUCUGGCAGUGUAAGGAGACAUAAGAGGUGUAGAAUAAGUGGGAGAUAUUAGACUUCGGUUUGGUAUCGACAAUGAAAUACCACUACUCUUAUUGUUUCCUUACUUACUUGAUUAAAUGGAACGUGUAUCAUUUCCUAGCCAUUAUACGGAUAUAAUUAUUAUGUCUUAUGGUAUUGGGUUUUGAUGCAAGCUUCUUGAUCAAAGUAUCACGAGUUUGUUAUAUAAUCGCAAACAAAUUCUUUAAUGAGAGAAUGCAUUUAUGUAUUAUUGAUUUAAAAAUUUGGUAUAACUCCAAUUACUCAGGUAUGAUCCAAUUCAAGGACAUUGCCAGGUAGGGAGUUUGACUGGGGCGGUACAUCUCUCAAAUAAUAACGGAGGUGUCCCAAGGCCAGCUCAUUGCGGACAGAAACCACACAUAGAGCAAAAGGGCAAAUGCUGACUUGAUCUCGGUGUUCAGUACACACAGGGACAGCAAAAGCUCGGCCUAUCGAUCCUUUUGGUUUAAAGAG
RNAcentral lists this non-coding RNA (1082 nucleotides) under Drosophila virilis. RNAcentral's name for it is "Eukaryotic large subunit ribosomal RNA". It matches the Rfam family "Eukaryotic large subunit ribosomal RNA", at positions 1950 to 2789 of the family's 3401-position model. Lineage: Eukaryota; Metazoa; Arthropoda; Insecta; Diptera; Drosophilidae. The record is from Rfam by way of RNAcentral.